Molecule: long non-coding RNA, 1309 nt
Filed under: Homo sapiens (human)
Lineage: Eukaryota; Metazoa; Chordata; Mammalia; Primates; Hominidae
Description: PREDICTED lncRNA (TCONS_00025891)
Source: RNAcentral
GCCUGGGGCCGGCCGCGCUCUCGGGCUCGCAGGCGCUGGGUCUCGGCUCCGGCUCCGGCUCCGCGCCGCUGGCUCUGCGUCGCUCGCACUCCAGCCGGGGGCACCCUCAUCCCAGGCUGACUGACGUCCCUGGCACCCAAAUGUCGCGGGGAGUGCGGGGCCAGGGUGCGCCCUCCCUCCUCCUCCAGCCAGUGAAACCCGGGACAGCGGCACCCAGCCCCAGGGCGGAGGCCGUCUCUGCUGCGCGCAGCGACGCACCCAGGCCCAAGGGCCGGGAGAUCCGCGGGGAACCCGGAGACCUGCGUCCCAGAGGGGCCGAGGGUUGCACCGCGCCCGCUCCCACGGGCCUCUUCCGAGAGGACGCUUCUCCCUCGUGUCCGCGGGAAGUCCUCGGAUCCUGGAUGAGAAAGAGCCUUCUCUCACCGGCUCCCAGACCCCGCGCUUUUUAAUACCUGUCCUUGCAGAGCGACUGGUCAUUUUAGGCCCGAGUCGAGCCUCUCUUGAUUAAUAAAUGAAUAUGGCUCGUUUUGUUUUAAGUGUGCGUGGAUGUAUACGUUGUAUUGUUUUGCAAUUCAACACCGCAAAGAUCUGGGAAAAGUUCUUCACCUGCAUUAAGGAAAGCAAUUACAAACUCGUAGUCCAAACCAGAAGAGCCAGAAAAUCAAGUAGAAGGCUCAGGGUAGGAUGAAACCAAAGGGAACAGGAAUCGUUUCUUCCUUUUAAUAAGAUGUCAGGUUAUUGGACUCACUUGAUGAGAGGCAGCAAAAUGAAUCGAACACAGCCUGGGUUCAAAGCCUGACCCCGCCAUCUAAUGAUGUGACCUUCUGCAAAUUCUUAGUCGCUCUAUGCCUCAAUUCUUUAAUCUACAAAAUGGGAAUAAGGACGCAGCUACCGAACAGCUUCUACUCUCCUGCUGUGAGGAUUAAAUGAGUCAGCAGUUCCGAACUGCUUCAAUCGGCCUGGCUCAAGGGAAGCUCCACGGAAGAGUCAGCUAGGAUUAUUAUAAAUUGGUUAUAACAAAGAAGCGAACACAUUCCGUUGCUAGCGCACAGAUUAAGACUCAAUAAUGCCACAUACCAACUGCCACUGCUCUGACAAAUAUUUCUGUCAUUUCAAAAAAAUAUCAUGGCUGCAGCUUUUCAUGACAAAAGAAAACCAUUGGUUUCUGGGCCUCUUAAACAGCUGCACUGAUGGACAUAUUCAUAAUAAUGCUGUACUGUUUGACUUUCCAGAAGAUGUAACUUCUUUAAAGGAUUCACCAAAUUCAACAGCCCCUGAGCCACUCACUCACUGCCAUGUUCACAAGUCC